GCAAGGACAUGUGGAGCGCUUAGAAGUGAGAAUGCCGGUGUGAGUAGCGAAAGACGGGUGAGAAUCCCGUCCACCGAUUGACUAAGGUUUCCAGAGGAAGGCUCGUCCGCCCUGGGUUAGUCGGGUCCUAAGCUGAGGCCGACAGGCGUAGGCGAUGGAUAACAGGUUGAUAUUCCUGUACCACCUAGCAUCGUUUUAAUCGAUGGGGGGACGCAGUAGGAUAGGCGAAGCGUACGAUUGGAUUGUACGUC
This 251-nucleotide ribosomal RNA is filed under the name Staphylococcus haemolyticus. RNAcentral's name for it is "partial 23S ribosomal RNA". It matches the Rfam family "Bacterial large subunit ribosomal RNA", at positions 1263 to 1512 of the family's 2925-position model. The record is from RNAcentral. Lineage: Bacteria; Bacillati; Bacillota; Bacilli; Caryophanales; Staphylococcaceae.